GGCCAUGUGGCUCAAUGGCAGAGCGUCUGACUACGAUUGAGUAUAUCAGGAGGUUGCAGGUUCGACCCCUGUCUUGGUCA
This 80-nucleotide transfer RNA is filed under the name Escovopsis weberi. It matches the Rfam family "tRNA". Rfam says of the family: Transfer RNA (tRNA) molecules are approximately 80 nucleotides in length. Their secondary structure includes four short double-helical elements and three loops (D, anti-codon, and T loops). Lineage: Eukaryota; Fungi; Ascomycota; Sordariomycetes; Hypocreales; Hypocreaceae. The record is from Rfam by way of RNAcentral.